CAAAGCUACUUUGGAAAAAGGAAUUGAGAAAGAAAGAAAAAAAAGAAAAACCCAGCCGAACCCCUCACCCCCUUUCCCCUCUCUCUUCGGCCGGGCGCGGCCCAGUUUCCCUUCCCCGGCCCAGCAAGCCAGCGCAGCACGCCCCCUCCUCCCCUAGCCCGCUAGCGCGGCCCACCAGGCGGCUAGGCCGGCCCGCGCGCGCACUCCCUCCCUCUCCCUCCUUUCUG
This 227-nucleotide long non-coding RNA is filed under the name Sorghum bicolor (sorghum). Its description in RNAcentral is "long non-coding RNA (SBIC_LNC006807)". Lineage: Eukaryota; Viridiplantae; Streptophyta; Magnoliopsida; Poales; Poaceae. The record is from RNAcentral.